This 213-nucleotide non-coding RNA is filed under the name Bacillus sp. (in: firmicutes). Lineage: Bacteria; Bacillati; Bacillota; Bacilli; Caryophanales; Bacillaceae. The record is from RNAcentral.
CAAAUAUUACGACAAAUAGGUUCCUUUCUUGUUUAGAGUAUGACUCGUGCAGGAAGGGUGAAAAGGGAAGUUGGUGCAAGUCCAACACGGUCCCGCCACUGUAAGCGUUUAGGAAAGCUGCUGGAGUCCACUGUGCACGAUAAAGGUGCAUGGGAAGGCGCAGCUGACCAGUUAAGCGUAAGUCAGGAGACCUGCCUAUCUUGUUAUUUAAGC